Molecule: ribosomal RNA, 521 nt
Filed under: Aspergillus ustus
Lineage: Eukaryota; Fungi; Ascomycota; Eurotiomycetes; Eurotiales; Aspergillaceae
Description: LSU rRNA
Rfam family: Eukaryotic large subunit ribosomal RNA
Source: RNAcentral
AAAGAGAGUUUAAACAGCACGUGAAAUUGUUGAAAAGGGAAGCGCUUGCGACCAGACUCGGCCCCGGGGUUCAGCCAGCACUCGUGCUGGUGUACUUCCCCGGGGGCGGGCCAGCGUCGGUUUGGGCGGCCGGUCAAAGGCCCCAGGAAUGUGUCGCCCUCCGGGGCGUCUUAUAGCCUGGGGUGCAAUGCGGCCAGCCCGGCCCGAGGAACGCGCUUCGGCACGGACGCUGGCGUAAUGGUCGCAAACGACCCGUCUUGAAACACGGACCAAGGAGUCUAACAUCUACGCGAGUGUUCGGGUGUCAAACCCGUACGCGCAGUGAAAGCGAACGGAGGUGGGAGCCCCUCACGGGGCGCACCAUCGACCGAUCCUGAUGUCUUCGGAUGGAUUUGAGUAAGAGCGUAGCUGUGGGGACCCGAAAGAUGGUGAACUAUGCCUGAAUAGGGCGAAGCCAGAGGAAACUCUGGUGGAGGCUCGCAGCGGUUCUGACGUGCAAAUCGAUCGUCAAAUUGGGUAUA